CAAGUUGUUGGUGGCCUAAAUUUAGGCAUAAUCGGGAAAUUGGUGAAAAACCAAUACUGCCCCCGCAACGGUAAUAGAGUGUGGAUAUAACAACAUGUCACUGAGAUUUUUCUUGGGAAGACGUUAUAUUUUGUCUCUUGAGUCCGGAUACCGGCCAAUCUUUAUU
This 166-nucleotide non-coding RNA is filed under the name marine eukaryotic metagenome. The record is from RNAcentral.